UACGUAGGGUGCAAGCGUUAAUCGGAAUUACUGGGCGUAAAGCGUGCGCAGGCGGUUAUGCAAGACAGAUGUGAAAUCCCCGGGCUCAACCUGGGAACUGCAUUUGUGACUGUAGAGCUGGAGUACGGCAGAGGGGGAUGGAAUUCCGCGUGUAGCAGUGAAAUGCGUAGAUAUGCGGAGGAACACCGAUGGCGAAGGCAAUCCCCUGGGCCUGUACUGACGCUCAUGCACGAAAGCGUGGGGAGCAAACAGG
RNAcentral lists this ribosomal RNA (253 nucleotides) under uncultured bacterium. RNAcentral describes it as "partial 16S ribosomal RNA". It matches the Rfam family "Bacterial small subunit ribosomal RNA", at positions 524 to 776 of the family's 1533-position model. The record is from RNAcentral.